GACGAACGCUGGCGGCGUGCCUAAUACAUGCAAGUAGAACGCACAGUUUAUACCGUAGCUUGCUACACCAUAGACUGUGAGUUGCGAACGGGUGAGUAACGCGUAGGUAACCUGCCUGGUAGCGGGGGAUAACUAUUGGAAACGAUAGCUAAUACCGCAUAAUAUUGAUUAUUGCAUGAUAAUUAAUUGAAAGGUGCAAUUGCACCACUACCAGAUGGACCUGCGUUGUAUUAGCUAGUAGGUGAGGUAACGGCUCACCUAGGCGACGAUACAUAGCCGACCUGAGAGGGUGAUCGGCCACACUGGGACUGAGACACGGCCCAGACUCCUACGGGAGGCAGCAGUAGGGAAUCUUCGGCAAUGGACGAAAGUCUGACCGAGCAACGCCGCGUGAGUGCAGAAGGUUUUCGGAUCGUAAAGCUCUGUUGUAAGAGAAGAACGGGUGUGAGAGUGGAAAGUUCACACUGUGACGGUAUCUUACCAGAAAGGGACGGCUAACUACGUG
This 505-nucleotide ribosomal RNA is filed under the name uncultured bacterium. RNAcentral's name for it is "partial 16S ribosomal RNA". It matches the Rfam family "Bacterial small subunit ribosomal RNA", at positions 28 to 507 of the family's 1533-position model. The record is from RNAcentral.